CCCAAGUGGCUCCGGUGCGUAGUGACAAGAGGAAACCCCGCCCACUUCGUGGCCCCGGGCUUUUACCAUGACAAACACCGGCGGAAAAAGAGCACUCCAACUCGCUCAGCUGAGUUGGAGGCGGAUUCGAGCGCCCGCCCCCGUGUCCUGGGAGUUACCCCGACUGACACCAGACUCAACUCGCUCAGGUGAGCGCAAACCGGAGUAAACCGGCCCGCUCCGUUGACGUGUCAGAUGCUUUGACUAGCAAAGCUUGUUCUGCGCGUUUGCUCGCAUGCCCCGUUGACACAGACGACAGGAUGAAAGGCAUCGCUUUGAAGGGGGAAGUUGUGGCGCCGAGCGGGCAAAAUUGCUUCAUGAAGCAGUCCCAAGGAGCUCAUCGACACUCGCGUAUUCGGAUCCGGACCGGAGGGAAGCAA
Hippocampus comes (tiger tail seahorse) is the source of this 419-nucleotide long non-coding RNA. RefSeq lists it as uncharacterized. The record is from RefSeq and is a predicted model, not a curated record. NCBI's taxonomy places the organism in Eukaryota, Metazoa, Chordata, Actinopteri, Syngnathiformes, Syngnathidae. The transcript has 3 exons.